RNAcentral lists this ribosomal RNA (253 nucleotides) under uncultured bacterium. Its description in RNAcentral is "partial 16S ribosomal RNA". It matches the Rfam family "Bacterial small subunit ribosomal RNA", at positions 524 to 776 of the family's 1533-position model. The record is from RNAcentral.
UACGAAGGGGGCUAGCGUUGCUCGGAAUCACUGGGCGUAAAGUGUGCGUAGGCGGGUCUUUAAGUCAGGGGUGAAAUCCUGGAGCUCAACUCCAGAACUGCCUUUGAUACUGAAGAUCUUGAGUUCGGGAGAGGUGAGUGGAACUGCGAGUGUAGAGGUGAAAUUCGUAGAUAUUCGCAAGAACACCAGUGGCGAAGGCGGCUCACUGGCCCGAUACUGACGCUGAGGCACGAAAGCGUGGGGAGCAAACAGG